Quercus robur (English oak) is the source of this 461-nucleotide long non-coding RNA. RefSeq lists it as uncharacterized. The record is from RefSeq and is a predicted model, not a curated record. The transcript is spliced from 2 exons. NCBI's taxonomy places the organism in Eukaryota, Viridiplantae, Streptophyta, Magnoliopsida, Fagales, Fagaceae.
CCCUGAUCACCAUGUGAUUCUGCCACGUUUCCCAGAUUCCCUUGUUAAGGUGGUCCCCAAUGGUGUCCAUAUUUCUCUCUCACCGACCUCACCAUCGAGUUGUACUAUUGGAUUUGGAGGAUAUCAGUGCAGCAGAUCGAUCGUCUAGGGGUGGUUGUCUGUGAUCAUCAAGGGCGGGUAAUGAUGUAGAAGCUAUGGCGGCUGUCAAAUCUAUAACAUUUGCCUAUGAAUUUAGACUUUCAUCCAUUAUCAUUGACGGAGAUUUCGUAGUCAUCAAAGCCUUGAGAAGUGAAGAUCAGUCUCUUGCCUCCUUUGGAAAUUUACUCUCCGCUGCAAAGCCUACUACAUAUAGAUGCCUUUAGUUUUAUUUAUUUAUUUAUUUCGUUAUCGUAGAUGAGACAAUUCUGUAAUUUAUAACCUACCUAAAUAUGCAAGACAUGUUAGUAUUUGUUGUAUGUAAA